This 249-nucleotide long non-coding RNA is filed under the name Lathyrus oleraceus (garden pea). RNAcentral's name for it is "Pisum sativum (pea) long non-coding RNA (PSAT_LNC025584)". Lineage: Eukaryota; Viridiplantae; Streptophyta; Magnoliopsida; Fabales; Fabaceae. The record is from RNAcentral.
AGAGCUCGAGCCGAAGUUUGAUCCUGUGUUCAGAGAUGCACAGCUUGCCAGCCGUGUCUGCAUCAUGUGCAUCAUAGCAUAUUUAUUUUUCAAAAGAAAUGCAAUAAAAAAAAUAAAAAAAAAAAGAGAAAGAAAGAAAAAGCUAAUCCCUGCAUGCAUAUCAUUUCUCAGGUACAUUCUAGAGCUUGUUCACUGAUAGAGAUGGCAACAGUCCCAGAGCCGAAGCGGAAGACUUGUUCCUACAUUUUC